Molecule: ribosomal RNA, 468 nt
Filed under: uncultured Sphingobacteriales bacterium
Lineage: Bacteria; Pseudomonadati; Bacteroidota; Sphingobacteriia; Sphingobacteriales
Description: bacterial SSU rRNA
Rfam family: Bacterial small subunit ribosomal RNA
Source: RNAcentral
GACGGGGCCCGCACAAGCGGAGGAACAUGUGGUUAAUUCGAUGAUACGCGAGGAACCUUACCUGGGCUUAAAUGUAGAGUGCAUUUUUUAGAGAUAGAAAUUCCCUUCGGGGCUUUCUGCAAGGUGCUGCAUGGUUGUCGUCAGCUCGUGCCGUGAGGUGUCGGGUUAAGUCCCAUAACGAGCGCAACCCUUAUCGUUAGUUGCCAUCUGGUAAUGCAGGGGACUCUAGCGAAACUGCCACCGUAAGGUGAGAGGAAGGUGGGGAUGACGUCAAAUCAGCACGGCCCUUAUGUCCAGGGCUACACACGUGUUACAAUGGUCGGUACAGAGGGCAGCUACCUGGUGACAGGAUGCUAAUCUCGAAAACCGGUCUCAGUUCGGAUCGAAGUCUGCAACUCGACUUCGUGAAGCUGGAUUCGCUAGUAAUCGCGCAUCAGCUAUGGCGCGGUGAAUACGUUCCCGGGCCUU